AUAUCGACAGCAAUAUCAAGCCUUUGGGCAAGGCUGGGUGUGUUGUCUAUAGUGGGCUCUUGACAUCUUGGAUGAAGCCAACUAUCCAAGUUACCAUUGGGCAUGAACUCAAAAACCAAUGCCUUGAACUCUUGUCCUUGAUGGUUGAUGCUUGAACAAGAUGUAAUGAUCUUGAUGAGACAACGGUGUCGUAUCCUUCUCAUGGCCUCAUAUUCAGCCUCAAAACUCUUGGUAUAA
This 237-nucleotide ribosomal RNA is filed under the name Triticum aestivum (bread wheat). RNAcentral's name for it is "partial small subunit ribosomal RNA". Lineage: Eukaryota; Viridiplantae; Streptophyta; Magnoliopsida; Poales; Poaceae. The record is from RNAcentral.